This is a long non-coding RNA of Bos taurus (domestic cattle), 538 nucleotides long. Lineage: Eukaryota; Metazoa; Chordata; Mammalia; Artiodactyla; Bovidae. The record is from Ensembl.
CCUUAGAGAACAGUAUGGUGAAUGAAUGAGUGUAGUGAGAACUGCGGCUGAAAUGAGCACUGAAUUCUAGCGGAAAGUCAGGGAAAGGCGUUUGGGAAACGGAGACAACCAUGACCUGAGAAUCUAUGUCUUUCACACAUUUUGCCUGGUACCUUGCCUUUGACUGUCACUGGUGUGGACCAAGCUUUUCACCUCUCAGCUCUGGGACUCAGGGCAAGUCCUGCCACCCGUUGUGACCUGCUGGCUUCAUCCUGUUUGAGUCUUUGUUCCAGUUGCCAGACCAUCUGGGGUUCUUGCUUAGACUCUUUUUCCAAGGUCACCAGAAGUGCAGUCUUCAUGAGGGAGUUCUCAGAUCGUCCUCUUCCUUCCACUGUGCUUGCUAAGCAUUUGCUGUUCAUCACGUGUGACCAUGGGGCUGUCUGUCUCAUUCUGCUCGUGAGGCCCUGUGGCUUCUGUGUGUUUCUCAUUUAAGCAUUGUAACUUUUCUGGCCGUGGCCUCUCUGUUCUUCCCACAGAUGGUUAUGGAAAGAGUUUUCAA